GACGAACGCUGGCGGCGUGCUUAACACAUGCAAGUCGAACGGAAAGGCCCUGCUUUUGUGGGGUGCUCGAGUGGCGAACGGGUGAGUAACACGUGAGUAACCUGCCCUUGACUUUGGGAUAACUUCAGGAAACUGGGGCUAAUACCGGAUAGGAGCUCCUGCUGCAUGGUGGGGGUUGGAACGUUUCGGCGGUUGGGGAUGGACUCGCGGCUUAUCAGCUUGUUGGUGGGGUAGUGGCUUACCAAGGCUUUGACGGGUAGCCGGCCUGAGAGGGUGACCGGCCACAUUGGGACUGAGAUACGGCCCAGACUCCUACGGGAGGCAGCAGUGGGGAAUAUUGCACAAUGGGCGGAAGCCUGAUGCAGCAACGCCGCGUGCGGGAUGACGGCCUUCGGGUUGUAAACCGCUUUCGCCUGUGACGAAGCGUGAGUGACGGUAAUGGGUAAAGAAGCACCGGCGAACUACGU
RNAcentral lists this ribosomal RNA (467 nucleotides) under uncultured bacterium. RNAcentral describes it as "partial 16S ribosomal RNA". It matches the Rfam family "Bacterial small subunit ribosomal RNA", at positions 28 to 506 of the family's 1533-position model. The record is from RNAcentral.